GCGUUGUAUCGGAUUACUGGGCGUAAGCGUGCGCAGGCGGUUUUGUAAGUCUGUCGUGAAAGCCCCGGGCUUAACCUGGGAAUUGCGAUGGAGACUGCAAGGCUUGAAUCUGGCAGAGGGGGGUAGAAUUCCACGUGUAGCAGUGAAAUGCGUAGAGAUGUGGAGGAACACCGAUGGCGAAGGCAGCCCCCUGGGUCAAGAUUGACGCUCAUGCACGAAAGCGUGGGGAGCAAACAGGAUUAGAUACCCUGGUAGUCCACGCCCUAAACGAUGUCUACUAGUUGUCGGGUCUUAAUUGACUUGGUAACGCAGCUAACGCGUGAAGUAGACCGCCUGGGGAGUACGGUCGCAAGAUUAAAACUCAAAGGAAUUGACGGGGACCCGCACAAGCGGUGGAUGAUGUGGAUUAAUUCGAUGCAACGCGAAAAACCUUACCUACCCUUGACAUGUCAGGAACCUCCGAGAGAUUGGAGGGUGCCCGAAAGGGAGCCUGAACACAGGUGCUGCAUGGCUGUCGUCAGCUCGUGUCGUGAGAUGUUGGGUUAAGUCCCGCAACGAGCGCAACCCUUGUCAUUAGUUGCUACGAAAGGGCACUCUAAUGAGACUGCCGGUGACAAACCGGAGGAAGGUGGGGAUGACGUCAAGUCCUCAUGGCCCUUAUGGGUAGGGCUUCACACGUCAUACAAUGGUACAUACAGAGGGCCGCCAACCCGCGAGGGGGAGCUAAUCCCAGAAAGUGUAUCGUAGUCCGGAUCGCAGUCUGCAACUCGACUGCGUGAAGUUGGAAUCGCUAGUAAUCGCGGAUCAGCAUGUCGCGGUGAAUACGUUCCCGGGUCUUGUACACACCGCCCGUCACACCAUGGGAGCGGGUUUUACCAGAAGUAGGUAGCUUAACCGCAAGGAGGGCGCUUACCACGGUAGGAUUCGUGACUGGGGUG
Molecule: ribosomal RNA, 938 nt
Filed under: uncultured bacterium
Lineage: Bacteria
Description: bacterial SSU rRNA
Rfam family: Bacterial small subunit ribosomal RNA
Source: RNAcentral